This is a non-coding RNA of Dallia pectoralis (Alaska blackfish), 74 nucleotides long. The record is from the annotation of a GenBank genome assembly. NCBI's taxonomy places the organism in Eukaryota, Metazoa, Chordata, Actinopteri, Esociformes, Umbridae.
GUUGGUGUAUCUCAGUGGUAGAGCGCAUGCUUUGUAUGUAUGAUGUUCUGGGUUCAAUCCCCAGGUCGCUGUUG